This 17-nucleotide small RNA is filed under the name Arabidopsis thaliana (thale cress). RNAcentral describes it as "ATSL054860". The record is from RNAcentral. Lineage: Eukaryota; Viridiplantae; Streptophyta; Magnoliopsida; Brassicales; Brassicaceae.
UUUGAUUCUCGUAUUUU